GAAUGAAGCGGGAACAGCUCAAAUUUGAAAUCUCCGUCGCCUGCGACGGCGAAUUGUAGUUUCGAGAAGCACUUUCUAGGCGGACCCGGGGCCGUCCAAGUUGCUUGGAACAGCACGUCAUAGAGGGUGACAACCCCGUCUGUGGCGGAACCGGCCGCUGACGAUGCGCUUUCGACGAGUCGGGUUGUUUGGGAAUGCAGCCCAAAAUGGGUGGUAAACUCCAUCUAAAGCUAAAUACUGGCACGAGACCGAUAGCGAACAAGUACCGUGAGGGAAAGAUGAAAAGCACUUUGAAAAGAGAGUUAAAAAGUACGUGAAACCGUUAAAAGGGAAACGAAUGGGGUUAGCAAUGCGCUCCGCGAGAUUCAGCCGGGGGCUGGACCGGCCGGGCGGUCUGCGGAUCUGAAUGGACCGCGGCCGUCCGGGUCGGCCCUUCGACCGUCGCACUUCUCGCGAGCGCGCGUCAGCGUCGGUUGGGACUGGGUCUCAAAGGCGCCGUGGAAGGUAGGUCCCUGCCCUCGGGCAGGGACUGUUAUAGCCCGGCGUUUUCAUGGCCCGGACCUGACCGUGGAGCCGCGCGGCGCGUGCCUCUUCUGGCUGGGGUCCCGUCGUUCCGGUCGGUCGUCGACUGCGGUGGACUGCGUGCAGUGCGCCGCGACUGCUGCCGGUCGCUUCGGCGGUGACCUCACACACAACGCGCCCAGGACGCUGGCGGUCAUAUGGCCUCAUCCGACCCGUCUUGAAACACGGACCAAGGAGUCUAACAUGUGCGCGAGUCUUCGAGUGAUCGAAACUCCCAGGCGGAAUGAAAGUGAAGGCGGCCUCGGCCGCUGAGGUGAGAACCCUCGCGUUCGGCGCGGGGGGCGCAUCAUCGACCGACCUAUUCUACUCUUAGGAAGGUUUGAGUAAGAGCGCACCUGUUGGGACCCGAAAGAUGGUGAACUAUGCCUGAAUAGGGUGAAGCCAGAGGAAACUCUGGUGGAGGCUCGUAGCGAUUCUGACGUGCAAAUC
Molecule: ribosomal RNA, 1011 nt
Filed under: Actinia equina
Lineage: Eukaryota; Metazoa; Cnidaria; Anthozoa; Actiniaria; Actiniidae
Description: eukaryotic LSU rRNA
Rfam family: Eukaryotic large subunit ribosomal RNA
Source: RNAcentral